Molecule: long non-coding RNA, 628 nt
Organism: Acipenser ruthenus (sterlet)
Lineage: Eukaryota; Metazoa; Chordata; Actinopteri; Acipenseriformes; Acipenseridae
Exons: 3
Source: RefSeq, a predicted model, not a curated record
GUGAAGUGAGUUCAGUUGAAGUGAAUUGAAGUGAAGUGAGUUCAGUUGAAGUAAAGUGAAGUGAAGUGAGUUCAGUUGAAUUGAAGUGAAGUGAGUUCAUUUGAAGUGAAGUGAAGUGAGUUCAGUUGAAGUGAAGUGAAGUGAGUUCAGUUGAAGUGAAGUGAGUUCAUUUGAAUUGAAGUGAAGUGAAGUGAGUUCAGUUGAAGUGAAGUGAGUUCAGUUGAAGUGAAGUGAAGUGAAGUGAGUUCAGUUGAAGUGAAGUGAGUUCAGUUGAAGUGAAGUGAGUUGCUCCCUCAGUUUCUAUUGAACUUGUCAGGAAGAAGCCCUGGAACAGACCCUUUGACAACAUUCCCAGUCAAAGGCUGCAUUAACCCUUGCCGUGUGCACAGCAACCUCAAAUACACUCUGAACUCUUCAAAAGCAUUACAGCUCUACAACCUGAGCUUCAACCUAAUUUACACAAACCCUAAAACAGCAAUGCAGAGCCCAGAAGAGCUGCUUCAUGUGAUUAUCUGUGCAGACCUGCGCUCUGUCUGACUCCCCUGUUUAAUAGUGGCUGUAUUUAGCAGCAGAAGCAGCUGACUGCAGAGCAGGAAUAUUGAGGAGAGCGUCUCGCUGUCUCACCCAG